CUCCACAGCCAUGGCCGCGACGCAGGAGCUGCUGCUGCAGUUGCAGAAGGAUAACCGAGAUGGUCGCCAGCGGAAGCAGGAGCUAGAGAAGCUGAUGCGCGGGCUCGAGGCCGAGAGCGAGAGCCUGCCUCAACCAGCGCCUGCAGGACCUGAGCGAGCGGGAGCGGAGGCUGCUGCGGAGGCGAAGCCAGGAAGCGCUGCUUCUGCAAGGGGAGGUGCGCGAGGCGGCGCGGGAGCGCGCGCAGCGGGUGCGCAGAAGACUGGAGGAGGCGGAGCGCCACAAGGAGGACUUGGUGAGGAAGAGUCCUGGAAUGGGGCUGGACCCAGGGUGGGGUGGGGCAGGGCGGGCGGAAGGGGGCAGGAUCCGGGGGUGGGGUGAGGUAGGACCGGCGGUGAGGCCGGCACCGCCCCAGGACCCUGUCCGCAGGAGCAGCACAGCAGGCAGCUGCAGGGCAGUGGGAGGAGCUGUCGAGUCAGGUACGUGCAGGAGAUGGGAGGGCCUGUCUCUUGGUUCCUCUCGGAAGUCCUGCCCUUGCCCUCGCUCUCAUUGCCUCCCCGUCCCUGUCUCCCCUGACACUCGUUCCUCCAGAAGCCCGGUAAACCCCGUCCUUACGAGCCCCGCCCCUAGCUCUUCUACUACGGAGGGGAACUGCAGAGCCAGAAGAGCACGGAGCAGCAACUCGCAGCCCAAUUGGUGACGCUGCAGGUGCUUGAGCGGGACCCUG
RNAcentral lists this long non-coding RNA (725 nucleotides) under Homo sapiens (human). RNAcentral describes it as "non-protein coding lnc-SERPIND1-1:35". Lineage: Eukaryota; Metazoa; Chordata; Mammalia; Primates; Hominidae. The record is from RNAcentral.